RNAcentral lists this transfer RNA (67 nucleotides) under Agrilus sichuanus. Its description in RNAcentral is "tRNA-Asn". Lineage: Eukaryota; Metazoa; Arthropoda; Insecta; Coleoptera; Buprestidae. The record is from RNAcentral.
UUAAUUGAAACCAAAAUAGCGGUUCAUCACUGUUAAUGAUGAAAUUGGAAUACUAUUCCCAAUUAAA